Molecule: long non-coding RNA, 559 nt
Filed under: Ficedula albicollis (Collared flycatcher)
Lineage: Eukaryota; Metazoa; Chordata; Aves; Passeriformes; Muscicapidae
Description: lncRNA (ENSFALG00000026733.1)
Source: RNAcentral
AGAAAAGGACACAUUAAAAUUGUUUAAUAAUUCCAAGACAAUGUAUUCUUCUGUUUUCAGGGGAAGUUUGGAGAAGUUCAGGUGACAAGUAAAAUUUGAGUAAUACCCAUGUGGCUGUGACUGAAAUCGGAGGGUUUUGCCUCCUACAAGGUAACUGAUUAGCAGUGCUCCAGCUACACUUCCUGAAAUGAAGUGUUACAGUGCAACUCAUGCCAAGACUGUGGCAUGGUUAUGGAAAAGGUUUAUGCAGCCAGAAUAUUGGUGAAACUCCUUUUGGACUCAACAGGCUACCUAGUGGCUUAACCUACUACUGAAGGUCAGGAGAAUACCAUUCAUCUUCCAAAAUGCCUGGACAUCACCAGCUGCACUUCUGGAGAUAUCCUGGAAAAUGAAACUGUGAGAACAUUCCAAGCAGUUCGGUGGGAUUAUUGUCUUUGACAAGAUUCUCUUGACAAUACACAAACCUUUGUGCACGUAUCACUGUAAUGCCCAAUAAAAAUCAAAAGUCCCCCUUGGGACUGUUUGCUUGCUGUCCAAAGUAUUUCAGAUGGGCUGGCAA